RNAcentral lists this ribosomal RNA (495 nucleotides) under uncultured bacterium. RNAcentral describes it as "bacterial SSU rRNA". It matches the Rfam family "Bacterial small subunit ribosomal RNA", at positions 32 to 507 of the family's 1533-position model. The record is from RNAcentral.
GGAAUGAAACGCUAGCUAACAGGCUUAACACAUGCAAGUCGAGGGGGAAACGACAUCGAAAGCUUGCUUUGAUGGGCGUCGACCGGCGCACGGGUGAGUAACGCGUAUCCAACCUGCCCACCACUUGGGAUAACCUUGCGAAAGUAAGACUAAUACCCAAUGAUAUCCCACGAAGGCAUCCGAAUGGGAUUAAAGAUUUAUCGGUGAUGGAUGGGGAUGCGUCUGAUUAGCUUGUUGGCGGGGUAACGGCCCACCAAGGCAACGAUCAGUAGGGGUUCUGAGAGGAAGGUCCCCCACAUUGGAACUGAGACACGGUCCAAACUCCUACGGGAGGCAGCAGUGAGGAAUAUUGGUCAAUGGGCGAGAGCCUGAACCAGCCAAGUAGCGUGCAGGACGACGGCCCUAUGGGUUGUAAACUGCUUUUAUAAGGGAAUAAAGUGAGUCUCGUGAGACUUUUUGCAUGUACCUUAUGAAUAAGGACCGGCUAAUUCCGUG